RNAcentral lists this non-coding RNA (31 nucleotides) under Macaca fascicularis (crab-eating macaque). RNAcentral also lists the same sequence under 1 other name. Lineage: Eukaryota; Metazoa; Chordata; Mammalia; Primates; Cercopithecidae. The record is from RNAcentral.
UGAUGACACAAUAGUCUCAGAUGUCUGUACU